This is a long non-coding RNA of Eriocheir sinensis (Chinese mitten crab), 915 nucleotides long. RefSeq lists it as uncharacterized. The transcript is spliced from 4 exons. Lineage: Eukaryota; Metazoa; Arthropoda; Malacostraca; Decapoda; Varunidae. The record is from RefSeq and is a predicted model, not a curated record.
AACAAAGAAUGACCUCACUUUGUUGUAUAGAAAGUCUCAUUAGUAAGGAAGCAUAUAUGAAUUUUCUGAGUCAAGACCUAGAGUUACUGUUUGGGGUUUUGUUAGGUUAUGUUAGGUUAAGUUUAGGGUAUCUUCAAACACAUGAUAGCCAACACCUUAUGGUAUAAAUCAACAAAGAAUGACCUCACUUUGUUGUACUGAAAGUCUCAUUAGUAAGGAAGCAUAUAUGAAUUUUCUGAGUCAAGACCUAGAGUUACUGUUUGGGGUUUUGUUAGGUCAUGAUAGGUUAAGUUUAGGGUAUCUUCAAACACAUGAUAGCCAGCACCUUAUGGUAUAAAUCAACAAAGAAUGACCUCACUUUGUUGUAUAGAAAGUCUCAUUAGUAAGGAAGCAUAUAUGAAUUUUCUGAGUCAUGACCUAGAGUUACUGCUUGGGGUUUUGUUAUGUUAAGUUUAGGAUAUCUUCAAACACAUGAUAGCCAGCACUUUAUGGUAUAAGUCAACAAAGAAUGACCUCACUUUGUUGUAUAGAAAGUCUCAUUAGUAAGGAAGCAUAUAUGAAUUUUCUGAGUCAAGACCUAGAGUUACUGUUUGGGAUUUUGUUAGGUUAUGUUAGGUUAAGUUUAGGGUAUCUUCAAACACAUGAUAGCCAGCACCUUAUGGUAUAAAUCAACAAAGAAUGACCUCACUUUGUUGUAUAGAAAGUCUCAUUAGUAAGGAAGCAUAUAUGAAUUUUCUGAGUCAAGACCUAGAGUUACUGUUUGGGGUUUUGUUAGGUUAUGUUAGGUUAAGUUUAGGGUAUCUUCAAACACAUGAUAGCCAGCACCUUAUGGUAUAAAUCAACAAAGAAUGACCUCACUUUGUUGUAUAGAAAGUUUCAUUAGUAAGGAAGCAUAAAUGAAUUUUCUGAGUCAAG